AACACGUUCCUUAGAUCCACCUCUGGAGGGCGCUCUGCUCCUCUGAGCAGGGACCCUCAGCAGCUUUCUUGCUGUACAGUUGGAGGUGCUUGAGUCAUUGACGUGUAAGAGUAGUCUACCUGUUGCUCGGCUUACUCGGCAUCACUAGCACCUCUGUUUUCAAAAAACAGGAGAUCACCUAGUGUUGCUAGCUUGAGUAACGGAUAUU
Nerophis lumbriciformis (worm pipefish) is the source of this 208-nucleotide non-coding RNA. The record is from RefSeq and is a predicted model, not a curated record. NCBI's taxonomy places the organism in Eukaryota, Metazoa, Chordata, Actinopteri, Syngnathiformes, Syngnathidae.